Long non-coding RNA from Priapulus caudatus, 241 nucleotides. RefSeq lists it as uncharacterized. Lineage: Eukaryota; Metazoa; Priapulida; Priapulimorpha; Priapulimorphida; Priapulidae. The transcript is spliced from 3 exons. The record is from RefSeq and is a predicted model, not a curated record.
GACAGAUACGACCGCAACCGGUGACAUAGGAUACUCGAUAGCCUGGAAAAGAACGAGCUGCAACAAAGACAGCGCCUAUCCUGUGUGUGUAGCUGAGGAACAUCAGCCCAAGUUUCUCAUCGUGCCCAGCGAGAAAGAUGAUGAGGUGAAGCUACUUGGACUGACAUACAACUCGGAAUACGUUUUGAACAUCAGCACCAAUGGGUACAUCAACACAGCGAGAUUCACAACUCCAGGUAUU